UGUUAAACGAGAUCUUAGGUGAUUCCUAUGCAACUUAAUUUUUAGAAGUGCUGGAGUGGCGGUUCUCAAACUUUAACGCAUGCCAAAAUCAUCUGGAGGGCUUGUUAACAUGUAGAUUGCUGAGCCCAAGUGUCUGAUUUGGUAGGUUUGGGGGGAGAAUUUGCAUUUCUAACAAGUUAUCAGGCGCUGCUGCUGCUGGUCUAGGGAUCACAUCUUGAGAACAACUGCUCUAAAGCAGGGGUCCCCAACUGCCGGUCCGUGGCUUGUUAGGAACCAGGCCGCAUAGCAGGAGGUGAGCAGCGGGCAAGCGAGCGAAGCUUCACCUGCUGCUCCCCAUCGCUCCCCAUCACUCACAUCACCGCCUGAAACAUCCCCCCCAAACCCCGGUCUGUGGAAAAAUUGUCUUCCACAAAACCGGUCCCUGGUGCCGAAAAGGUUGGGGACCACUGCUCUAAAGCACAAAGCAGGCCACACCAAGGAAGGAUGCCUAGAAGAACUUCAGAAUCUUGGGCCCCACUCCAAACCUACUGAAUUAGACUUUAUGCUGUUAUCAACCUGAGAACAUGGGGUAACUUUCCAUGUAUUUUCUAUUUAUUCAAGGUGACCUUUUAUCCCUUAACGAUAUUUUAAAGUUUUCCUUACAUAAGUUUUGCAAGCACUGUGCAUUUGUAGGUAACUUCUUUGCUGCUAGUCUAAUGGUUUCUUUUUCCUGUGAUAUUUUCUAAGUGAUGGUUAUUUGAGUACAUGAAAAAGCUAUUACUUUAUGCAUAUUAGUUUUAUACCACUAUACCUUACUGAUUUUUAAAUUAUCUUAUUUUUCGUAGAGCUUUUCAGAAUUAGAAAAUAAAUAUUUUGCAACCCCUAAUGACAUAAUGGAUCUGGACAACAAAUAGUGAAUUCUGAACUACCAGGUGAAGGCGGGAUGGGUGAGGAACAUGCAACUUGAAGCCACUCCUCUGUCUUAGCAUCCCUAAAAAUGGGACAACCACACAUUAUGUGACUCCUUAUGUUAUGCAGUGCAAGAUUUAUAGGAAAUGUAGGCAAGAGAAAACAAGUUAAUUAACACCAUGAGGAAGCAACCAAGUAAAUAUAGAAUAUAGGACAUGCUAUCGGAUGUGUGACCCAGCUUUCCGUAGACGAAUGGCAUUAAAAAAAGGAGAAUAAAAGACUUAAGAGAUGUAAUGACCAGAAACAACAUGUGGGCCUCAUUUGUAUCCUGUUUCAAACAACCACUGACACAGGGUAUCUUUGAGAUAUUUAGGGAAAUAUGAAUGGGUAUUAAAUGGGUAUUAGAUAAUUUCAAGAAAUUGUUCAUUUUGAUGUGUAUGAUAAUAGCACAUUGGUUUAUGCUUUACCAGUUUGAGAUGCACAUUGAAAUAUUUAUACGUGAAUUACCAGAAUGUCUAGAGUUUUCUUUAAAAUAUUUCAGCACAAAAAAAGGGGGAGCUGAUAGUUGAAACAAGAAGGGCAAAAUACUGAUACUUAUUGAAACUGGAUAGUAGGUACUUGGGACUUAUUACAUAUUCUUUUUAUAUUUGUGUAGGUUUGAAAUUUUUCAUAAUAGCUAUAUGAUGAAAUAAACUAUGUGCUCACCUCA
Delphinapterus leucas (beluga whale) is the source of this 1597-nucleotide non-coding RNA. The record is from RefSeq and is a predicted model, not a curated record. NCBI's taxonomy places the organism in Eukaryota, Metazoa, Chordata, Mammalia, Artiodactyla, Monodontidae.